RNAcentral lists this ribosomal RNA (250 nucleotides) under uncultured Staphylococcus sp. RNAcentral's name for it is "partial 16S ribosomal RNA". It matches the Rfam family "Bacterial small subunit ribosomal RNA", at positions 90 to 334 of the family's 1533-position model. The record is from RNAcentral. Lineage: Bacteria; Bacillati; Bacillota; Bacilli; Caryophanales; Staphylococcaceae.
CGUUAGCGGCGGACGGGUGAGUAACACGUGGGUAACCUACCUAUAAGACUGGGAUAACUUCGGGAAACCGGAGCUAAUACCGGAUAAUAUUUCGAACCGCAUGGUUCGAUAGUGAAAGAUGGUUUUGCUAUCACUUAUAGAUGGACCCGCGCCGUAUUAGCUAGUUGGUAAGGUAACGGCUUACCAAGGCAACGAUACGUAGCCGACCUGAGAGGGUGAUCGGCCACACUGGAACUGAGACACGGUCCAG